GAGAGAUUGGAAAGCUUAAACAUAGAUCUUUAGAGAAAAAUUCUCCAUCACAUGAUCGGCAUAAAGAUUCUUUUGGCUUUGAUGAUCAUGUGAAGUCAAGAAAUCCUCGUCAACUGCCAGACAGGUUUGCUGUUGCUGUGGUACAUUCUGUCUCAGUAGUCUAUAGUUUGUGUAUAACUGAUCUAAUUUUUGUAUUUUUUGUUUUUAUUUGAAUAAACCAGUGAAAAGUUAGCUGAAAGAGUGGAUCACAUAAUAAAUCCCGAGAAACAAGAAUCAUUAGUGAUUCGUAAAAGCGCCAUAUUAAGAGAGGAAGGAAAGGGAUCAUAUGUUGACAAUGAUUACAGAGCUGUUGAUAAGAAUACAUCUGUGUAUGACGAUACCAAGGGCAGUGGUCGACAUUCAGAACUUGAAGUCUUGCCUAAUUUGUCUGGGGCAGACAAGCUGAAUGCUCGAAGUCGUUCAGUGGGAUUCAACUCUGAGGAAACUGACAGGCAUAAAACUAAAAUUAAAGAAAAGGGAAAGCACAAGAGGUCAGAGAGACAAGAGGUGGAAUCAGAUGACUAUUCUAGCUAUGAUUCUUAUGAGAAGAGGAAGGAGGCUAAGAGGAGGAAAAAAGAGGAGAAGAAAUUGAAAAAGGAGGAGAGGCAUCGACGGCGGGAGGAACGGCGCCGCAGAAAAAAGGAAAAGCAUGCAGAGAAGCUGAAAUUGAAGUCGCUUGACGCUGGUAGUCCAUCUUUAGAUAUUGAGAUUGAUCAUGAUCGUCAUGCUUCUUAUGAUGACGGUUAUAGAAGGCGGGAAACGCAUACAAGUGACAUGGAGGAAACAGAAUCUGAGCAGAAAAAGCUUGAGAUAGAGUUGAGGGAAAAGGCUCUUGAGUCGCUUCGAGCAAAGAAGGGCGCUCAGAAUUAAAUUUUUUUGCUGCUCUAGAAUAUUUCACUUUUAUUUUCUGUUAUAUGAUCCUGUUAUGAGUUCCUGUUUCUGUCCUAGACCUAUUCUGUUUCGGAUGAAUGUAUUCUUGGUGGCUAUUUAAUGUAAUGUGUCUUUACUGCUGGCAGCUGAAUGGAUAAAUGAGGAUUUCCUGAGCUAGUGUCUUGAGUGCAACUUUAUGCUGACUUUCCUGCUAAAUUUGCUGGUAAUAUUUGUCUUCCCUUCACUGGGAAUAUGUUUAUGUUAUAUUUACACGACACAAAAGUGUGCACGUGAAUCAUCUUGUUGCUUGGGUGGUGCUUUCCAUCUUUUACUAUUUUGUGUCUACUAUACUUACAUUUUGGUAUUUGCUUGUCUUCUGUGAGUUGGAAUUUCAAUUAAGCUUGCAGGUAAGGAGUGCCUAACCUUUUAUUCUUUGGAAUGAUUAUGUGCAUCCUGAAGGUCUUGACAGUUAUUUCCCUAAAUAACUUUGUUACUAAAAUGACUUUCUGGUUAAUUGAUAGAUGAGAAUAAUUGUCAACUUGACGACUUCGUUGAGCAGAUCUUGUGCAACUCCAUAUUUUAGACCUCCAUACAG
This 1504-nucleotide long non-coding RNA is filed under the name Olea europaea subsp. europaea. The record is from RNAcentral. Lineage: Eukaryota; Viridiplantae; Streptophyta; Magnoliopsida; Lamiales; Oleaceae.